UCAAGCGUGUACGCUAAAUAUGAAGUUCACUCGAGCAGACAUUAGCAUAGCUUAGCAUAAUGACUGGAAACGGCUAGCUUAGCUUAGCAUAAUGACUGGAAACAGCUAGCCUGACUCCGUCCAAAGGUAAACCUACCAGACAUGAGUGGUGAUGAUCUUUUUAUCCAAAAUGUCCAGAUAGAAAAUAAAAGUGUAUAUUUUGUCGGACCUUUCUGUGAUACAAGAGGAGAAUGCAACUGUAAUAACACUUCAUAAUAACUAUUAAUAAUUCAUAUAGUCCACUGGUUUAAUGAACUGGUUACUUCUUAUUCUUAAAACUGAUGUGUUAUGUUUUAAGAAUAAAAAGUAACCAGUUCAUUAAACCAGUGCACUAUAUGAAUUAUUAAUAGUUAUUAUGAAGUGUUAUUACAGUUACAUUCUCCUCUUGUAUCACAGAAAGGUCCGACAAAAUAUACACUUUUAUUUUCUAUCUGGACAUUUU
Molecule: long non-coding RNA, 481 nt
Organism: Sander lucioperca (pikeperch)
Lineage: Eukaryota; Metazoa; Chordata; Actinopteri; Perciformes; Percidae
Exons: 3
Source: RefSeq, a predicted model, not a curated record